GUCGGGAAUCUUGGACAAUGGGGGAAACCCUGAUCCAGCCACGCCGCGUGGGUGAUGGAGGCCUUCGGGUCGUAAAGCCCUGUCAGAGGGGAAGAAACGGUCUUUUGCUAAUACCAACGGACCUUGACGGUACCCUCAGAGGAAGCACCGGCUAACUACGUGCCAGCAGCCGCGGUAAUACGUAGGGUGCAAGCGUUGCUCGGAAUUACUGGGCGUAAAGGACGCGUAGGCGGCCUAGCAAGCGAGAUGUGAAAGCCCCUGGCUCAACCAGGGAAGGGCAUUUCGAACUGCUGGGCUUGAGUCCGAGAGAGGGUGGUGGAAUUCCCGGUGGAACGGUGAAAUGUGUAGAUAUCGGGAGGAACAUCGGCGGCGAAGGCGGCCGCCUGGCUCGGUACUGACGCUGAUGCGUGAAAGCGUGGGUAGCAAACAGGAUUAGAUACCCCGGUAGUCC
This 451-nucleotide ribosomal RNA is filed under the name uncultured bacterium. RNAcentral's name for it is "bacterial SSU rRNA". It matches the Rfam family "Bacterial small subunit ribosomal RNA", at positions 354 to 796 of the family's 1533-position model. The record is from RNAcentral.